Molecule: long non-coding RNA, 206 nt
Filed under: Trifolium pratense (red clover)
Lineage: Eukaryota; Viridiplantae; Streptophyta; Magnoliopsida; Fabales; Fabaceae
Description: long non-coding RNA (TPRA_LNC008964)
Source: RNAcentral
CAUGUAUUAUAAGAGAAUUAACAUAUGUAUAUUCUUAAAUCGAUGACUACGUACAAGCAAUAAAAAAGUUUAAAAUCGAUCCAAUCAAGAUCAAACAGUCUAAAAAUGUUGAUUGUAUGCGUGCAACGGGCUAGUGCAUCUAAUCCAAAUUCUUGAAAGAACGGGUGGGGCGGCAGCUAAAUCUAGGUGGAGUAGAAAAACUUACA